Long non-coding RNA from Dreissena polymorpha, 960 nucleotides. RefSeq lists it as uncharacterized. Lineage: Eukaryota; Metazoa; Mollusca; Bivalvia; Myida; Dreissenidae. The record is from RefSeq and is a predicted model, not a curated record. The transcript is spliced from 2 exons.
CGCUGUUCGGAAUUAUGAACACCCCUCUACAGUACUUAAAAAUGUCAUAUCAGUAGGAAUGCUAUUUGCCUGUCUUUAUUAUUAUAUUGUCAUCUACAAUAAUUUAUUAUAGUGAUGAUUUACAAGAUGUAAAUCAACCUAGAUUUAUUAUGUUGUUGCUGCAAAACUGUGUCACAUGUAACAAUCACAAAUAUAGUUUUCAUUUCUUUGUUUUUCCCGGAAACAAAAUGUUAUCACUGGCUGAAAGACCUGAACAUGAUGCACCAAUUCAAUGUACAGAGAACAGGGUUGUCAAAACUCAAACAGAAGUUGCGUCAAUCAACUGUGUUAAAUCAUAAAAAAGAGAACGGAAGGCAGAAGCAACAAAUACCACAUGUGAAGAAUGUAGCAACAGUGUGACUAAAACUCGAGAGAUGUUGAUUUCGUCAAGGGAAAGAAAUGCCAUUCUGCGGGACAUUAGCAAAAAUCUAGAGGAGCUGCUUUCUCUUUAAACAAAAUGAAAUUUCAAAUUGCUCAAUUGUUUCUGGAACUUUUAAUUGGUUUUACAUGUGAUGAUGUUCAGUGAUUCUAUGAAGCUUAUUAUAACACAUAAUAAGCUCGGCGUUUUCGGAGAAAAUCCGAGGUAUUAUCAUAGCCAGCUCGUCGUGUCGUUCAUGUUGUGCUAAAACCUUAGCAUUGCCGCUAAAAUCAAAAAGCUUCCACCUACAACUUUGAAACUUCAUAUGUAGAUGCAACGUGAUGAGUUCUACACGCCAUACCCAUUUUGGGGUCACUAGGUCAAAGGUCAAGGUCACUUCUGACAAGCUUUCAUUUAUUCAAAACUGUACCCUUAGACGAGCGGGGCACCCUUUAUGCGGUGCUCUUGUUGAGAUAUAAAUUUUCAUAUGAAUUAUAACACCAUGCCUUGUUGGUAUAUUGUACUUUCUAAAUAAAAAUAAAUAAAUGUGAAGACGCAUGAAA